Molecule: long non-coding RNA, 326 nt
Filed under: Homo sapiens (human)
Lineage: Eukaryota; Metazoa; Chordata; Mammalia; Primates; Hominidae
Description: non-protein coding lnc-PDCD1-3:1
Source: RNAcentral
CCAUGAGUCACCACCACCCUCGCCACAUCCCACCAGCGCUGGUGCCCACCAUGCCCUCCGACGCCAAGCUCUCCACACGGCUGGUCACCUUCCCACAACCCCUCCCUGUCGGUGCCAGCUGAGCCUGGAUUCCGGGACUGGCCCCAGCCCAAGGCAGCCUCCCUGCCCUAGCCAGUGCCUGGCUCGGAUGGGUGCAGGCCCCAUAGCCAUGGAGGCAGAAACAAGGCUGGGCUGAGGGGCUCAGAGGAGGGGCCGAGCACACAUGGACCUCCCUGGCAUCAGAGACCCUGGGCUGGGCGGCUGCUGGCGAAAGGCCCAGAGACCCC